Long non-coding RNA from Thalassophryne amazonica, 194 nucleotides. RefSeq lists it as uncharacterized. The record is from RefSeq and is a predicted model, not a curated record. NCBI's taxonomy places the organism in Eukaryota, Metazoa, Chordata, Actinopteri, Batrachoidiformes, Batrachoididae. The transcript has 3 exons.
CAGGAGUUUUUUUAAAAUUUUUUUUUAGCUAGGGUUCAUUUUCACUGAAACAUCCUCAUACAGAGAUCUCUCCCCGCAAACCCUCUUCACAGUGGGACCAAGGACACUUGAGGCAAGUGUCCAGUAGGAACUCCAAACCCACCUUUUCCCCUGUAUGAAUUAUCAUGUGUGUUUUCAGGGCGCUCUUGUGUCCA